GAUAUCAACUGAAAAAGUCAUCAACAACAAAGUUGAAUAACUCAUCAAGAUCUAAAACUUUUAUUUUGGUCAUUUCUUCAUACGACAAAGUGAUAGUAACAUUGUUCACAAAAUUGACAUAUCUCUUAUCUGGUUUUAUAAACUAUAACACAUAUAUGUAAAAUUUGUGAAUAAUAUUACUAACAUUUCGUCGGAUGAAAAAAUAACAAAAAUAAAAGUUUUAGAUCUUGAUGAGUUAUUCAACUUUGUUGUUGAUGACUUUUUCAAUUGAAAUC
Non-coding RNA from Oryza nivara, 275 nucleotides. The record is from Rfam. Lineage: Eukaryota; Viridiplantae; Streptophyta; Magnoliopsida; Poales; Poaceae.